This 253-nucleotide ribosomal RNA is filed under the name uncultured bacterium. Its description in RNAcentral is "partial 16S ribosomal RNA". It matches the Rfam family "Bacterial small subunit ribosomal RNA", at positions 524 to 776 of the family's 1533-position model. The record is from RNAcentral.
UACGUAGGGUGCGAGCGUUAAUCGGAAUUACUGGGCGUAAAGCGUGCGCAGGCGGUUUUGUAAGCCAGAUGUGAAAUCCCCGGGCUUAACCUGGGAAUGGCGGUUGAAACUAGAGGACUAGAAUCUGGCAGAGGGGGGUGGAAUUCCACGUGUAGCAGUGAAAUGCGUAGAGAUGUGGAGGAACACCGAUGGCGAAGGCAGCCCCCUGGGCUGAGAUUGACGCUCAGGCACGAAAGCGUGGGGAGCAAACAGG